AUUGAACGCUGGCGGCAGGCUUAACACAUGCAAGUCGAGCGAGCGGCGGACGGGUGAGUAAUGUCUGGGAAACUGCCUGAUGGAGGGGGAUAACUACUGGAAACGGUAGCUACUACCGCAUACCAUCAGAUGUGCCCAGAUGGGAUUAGCUAGUAGGUGGGGUAAUGGCUCACCUAGGCGACGAUCUCGAGCUGGUCUGAGAGGAUGACCAGGCACACUGGAACGGAGACACGGUCCAGACGCCUACGGGAGGCAGCAGUGGGGAAUAUUGCACAAUGGGCGCAAGCCUGAUGCAGCCAUGCCGCGUGUGUGAAGAAGGCCUUCGGUUUGUAAAGCACUUUCAGCGAGGAGGCGUUACUCGCAGAAGAAGCACUGGCUAACUCCGUGCCAGCAGCCGCGGUAAUAC
RNAcentral lists this ribosomal RNA (406 nucleotides) under uncultured bacterium. RNAcentral describes it as "partial 16S ribosomal RNA". It matches the Rfam family "Bacterial small subunit ribosomal RNA", at positions 30 to 526 of the family's 1533-position model. The record is from RNAcentral.